Molecule: microRNA precursor, 205 nt
Organism: Oryza sativa Japonica Group (Japanese rice)
Lineage: Eukaryota; Viridiplantae; Streptophyta; Magnoliopsida; Poales; Poaceae
Rfam family: MIR812 microRNA precursor family
Source: Rfam
AAUGUAUGACGCUGUUGACUUUUUGACAAACAUUUGACCUUUCGUCUUAUUCAAAAAAUUUAUAUAAUUAUCAUUUAUUUUAUUAUGACUUGAUUUAUCAUCAAAUGUUCUUUAAGCAUGAUAUAAGUAUUUUUAUAUUCGCAUAAAAAUUUUGAAUAAGACGAAUGGUCAAACGUUGGUUAAAAAGUCAACGGCGUCAUACAUU